RNAcentral lists this ribosomal RNA (570 nucleotides) under Arthrobacter sp. OF24. Its description in RNAcentral is "bacterial SSU rRNA". It matches the Rfam family "Bacterial small subunit ribosomal RNA", at positions 556 to 1125 of the family's 1533-position model. The record is from RNAcentral. Lineage: Bacteria; Bacillati; Actinomycetota; Actinomycetes; Micrococcales; Micrococcaceae.
GGGCGUAAGAGCUCGUAGGCGGUUUGUCGCGUCUGCCGUGAAAGUCCGAGGCUCAACCUCGGAUCUGCGGUGGGUACGGGCAGACUAGAGUGAUGUAGGGGAGACUGGAAUUCCUGGUGUAGCGGUGAAAUGCGCAGAUAUCAGGAGGAACACCGAUGGCGAAGGCAGGUCUCUGGGCAUUUACUGACGCUGAGGAGCGAAAGCAUGGGGAGCGAACAGGAUUAGAUACCCUGGUAGUCCAUGCCGUAAACGUUGGGCACUAGGUGUGGGGGACAUUCCACGUUUUCCGCGCCGUAGCUAACGCAUUAAGUGCCCCGCCUGGGGAGUACGGCCGCAAGGCUAAAACUCAAAGGAAUUGACGGGGGCCCGCACAAGCGGCGGAGCAUGCGGAUUAAUUCGAUGCAACGCGAAGAACCUUACCAAGGCUUGACAUGUGCCAGACCGCUUCAGAGAUGGAGUUUCCCUUCGGGGCUGGUUCACAGGUGGUGCAUGGUUGUCGUCAGCUCGUGUCGUGAGAUGUUGGGUUAAGUCCCGCAACGAGCGCAACCCUCGUUCCAUGUUGCCAGCACG